GAGGGUGGUUGGGGGAGUGAUAGUGAGGGGGAUGGUGAGGGGGUAAUAAUACCCCCAUCCCUCACUUACCUGCUCUGUAGGCUGCCUCUGUGCUGCUCCCCUGCGGUUUCAGUCAUGAGCGAGAGGCAAGGAUAAGCUGUAGCUUCCUGCAUUUUAACAUUCACAGCGCCACCUACUGCCGGCGCCGGUAUUGCAGUGUAUUCUCA
This is a non-coding RNA of Pelobates cultripes (western spadefoot toad), 206 nucleotides long. The record is from the annotation of a GenBank genome assembly. NCBI's taxonomy places the organism in Eukaryota, Metazoa, Chordata, Amphibia, Anura, Pelobatidae.